RNAcentral lists this ribosomal RNA (465 nucleotides) under Vreelandella stevensii. RNAcentral's name for it is "partial 16S ribosomal RNA". It matches the Rfam family "Bacterial small subunit ribosomal RNA", at positions 338 to 795 of the family's 1533-position model. Lineage: Bacteria; Pseudomonadati; Pseudomonadota; Gammaproteobacteria; Oceanospirillales; Halomonadaceae. The record is from RNAcentral.
CCUACGGGUGGCAGCAGUGGGGAAUAUUGGACAAUGGGGGCAACCCUGAUCCAGCCAUGCCGCGUGUGUGAAGAAGGCCCUCGGGUUGUAAAGCACUUUCAGUGAGGAAGAACGCCUGGUGGUUAAUACCCAUCAGGAAAGACAUCACUCACAGAAGAAGCACUGGCUAACUCCGUGCCAGCAGCCGCGGUAAUACGGAGGGUGCGAGCGUUAAUCGGAAUUACUGGGCGUAAAGCGCGCGUAGGUGGCGUGAUAAGCCGGGUGUGAAAGCCCCGGGCUCAACCUGGGAACGGCAUCCGGAACUGUCAAGCUAGAGUGCAGGAGAGGAAGGUAGAAUUCCCGGUGUAGCGGUGAAAUGCGUAGAGAUCGGGAGGAAUACCAGUGGCGAAGGCGGCCUUCUGGACUGACACUGACACUGAGGUGCGAAAGCGUGGGUAGCAAACAGGAUUAGAUACCCGAGUAGUC